RNAcentral lists this small RNA (67 nucleotides) under Acididesulfobacillus acetoxydans. Its description in RNAcentral is "Peptococcaceae bacterium INE non-coding RNA". Lineage: Bacteria; Bacillati; Bacillota; Clostridia; Eubacteriales; Peptococcaceae. The record is from RNAcentral.
GUUUCAAUUCCUCAUAGGCAGGCUAUCGGCGGAGAGUCAGCUCAUCCCCUGGGAAGCGGGGAAGCAG